AUGACUCUGUCCUUGAUCCUGAUGUGUUUCUUGUUCUUGACACCAGGCGUACAAUCUGAAGAAGUCCUUACUCAGACAGAAUCACAAAUAUAUAAAAAGCCAAAUGAGUCUUUCAAACUGACGUGUCGAGGGUCUGGAUUUGAUUUCAGCCGGCGUGCAAUGCACUGGAUUCGCCAAGACUCAGGAAAAAGGCUUGAGUGGUUGGGUGUGAUCUGGUCUGACGCCAGUAAAACAGUAUAUGCCUCAUCUGUGGAAGGACGGGUGACAAUAACAAGGGACAAUAAGAACGGUGUAACCUUCCUGGAACUGAAGAGUCUGGUUACUGCAGAUUCUGCCACCUAUUUCUGUGCAAGAGCCACAGUGACAAACACUGUGCAAGAGUCAGACAAUAUCUUAUGA
Molecule: non-coding RNA, 399 nt
Organism: Bufo bufo (common toad)
Lineage: Eukaryota; Metazoa; Chordata; Amphibia; Anura; Bufonidae
Source: the annotation of a RefSeq genome assembly